This is a long non-coding RNA of Dama dama (fallow deer), 640 nucleotides long. RefSeq lists it as uncharacterized. Lineage: Eukaryota; Metazoa; Chordata; Mammalia; Artiodactyla; Cervidae. The transcript has 4 exons. The record is from RefSeq and is a predicted model, not a curated record.
CGUUGGGGGGCUGCUGGCUGGAAAAGAACUCCACGCGGCCGGGAAUGAAGCGCGCCCAAGUCCGCUGCGCUGCCAGCGCGCGGCUGCCCAGUGUCUGCACCUCUUCCUCACUUGUAAUAACUAGAAGCACUGGAAAUCAGCAUGUAAGGGGAUGAUAGAAGCUCAUAUACUGAAACAUGAAAAGCUUUAUCUAAGACAUGAUUCACCUGUUCGAAUCAUCAAUGUACUCUGAGAAGAAGAAAUGAAACUCCGGCUGUCACUUAUGAAAGGAUUAAGAGGUGACCAUUUCAGAAUUAACACUUGCCUAUCUUCACUCCCUCCUGGGCUCGAAUGACAGUCUCUUAGACAUAAGCAAAACAUCCAAUCAAGCUUUUACAAGUAAAGAAGCACUGUUUGUGAUAUGAGGAUUUGUUUUUUCCUGUAAUUGUCUAUGAUUAGGCAGUGAGCUUCAAGAUCUUCAGAGAGCUUCUAAUCACCAAUCUGAAUUUAUUCUAAAAAGAUUUUUUAUUUUAAUUUUCUCCUUUAGCUACUCUCCUAAAAUACUAAUAAACUUCAACUUAAAAUUUACUAUCUUAAAAAGUUAAAAUGUACAUGCCGUCUUUCCUCUGGUUUAAUUUUUAAACUCUGUUAAUUACUUGGU